Long non-coding RNA from Limulus polyphemus (Atlantic horseshoe crab), 793 nucleotides. RefSeq lists it as uncharacterized. The transcript has 3 exons. Lineage: Eukaryota; Metazoa; Arthropoda; Merostomata; Xiphosura; Limulidae. The record is from RefSeq and is a predicted model, not a curated record.
UAGAAAGGAGAAUGUUGGUAAUUUCCCCUCUUGAACACCUUUGUUUGUAAGUCAUAAAACUCGUGAUAAUACAAGUUUAGUUUCACCCACCAAAGUCUGCUCAAUGAUGAAAGUAUGCCUUCAGGUUUACCUUGUAGUAUAAAUAAAAACAAGGUUUAAGUGAUUACGUGCCUUUCAGGCUGUCGACCACUGUAUAGUUUCCUCCCUCUCCCCCACAUAGCCAUACACCUAGUUAUACAUAUGAUAGUGAUAUAGGCGUGUUUCAGAUAUAAAGGGUGCUAAGACGUAACCCUCGGCGUACAUUCCGUUAGAGUUAGAGGAUAACAACAGACAUUAUAGUAAAGUCUACUUUAAACAGCCACCAUGAACAGUAAGCUGUUGGUUCUUACUAUAAUCACUCUUGUCCUGGUGUUGAACCUUACCGAUGCUUAUCCGUAUGGUGGAUUUAGACGACGUAGAUUCGGACGUUUUCGUAAAUUUGGCGGCGGUUUCGGUGGAGGGUUUGGCGGUGGAUUUGGAGGUGGAUUUGGCGGUGGAUUUGGCGGUGGAUUUGGUGGCGGAUUUGGUGGAGGAUUUGGCGGUGGUUAUCGUAAACAUUAUGGACGUUGAGACAACCGUCACUUGUAAGUGUGAAGGACAACAAUGAACAACCAGGAAAGAACACGUACUUCUCUCACUGUGCAUAUUUAUAUAAAGGAAAAUUGUACUUAAUGAUUUGAGUGACCAAACAUUUGAAAUAUUUUGUUCUUUUUUAAGAUUUUCAUAAAUAAACUAAUAAAUUUACAGUUAGAAA